UGGGGAAUAUUGCGCAAUGGGGGGAACCCUGACGCAGCCAUGCCGCGUGAAUGAAGAAGGCCUUUAGGGUUGUAAAGUUCUUUCGGUAUUGAGGAAGGUUGAUGUGUUAAUAGCACAUCAAAUUGACGUUAAAUACAGAAGAAGCACCGGCUAACUCCGUGCCAGCAGCCGCGGUAAUACGGAGGGUGCGAGCGUUAAUCGGAAUAACUGGGCGUAAAGGGCACGCAGGCGGUUAUUUAAGUGAGGUGUGAAAGCCCUGGGCUUAACCUAGGAAUUGCAUUUCAGACUGGGUAACUAGAGUACUUUAGGGAGGGGUAGAAUUCCACGUGUAGCGGUGAAAUGCGUAGAGAUGUGGAGGAAUACCGAAGGCGAAGGCAGCCCCUUGGGAAUGUACUGACGCUCAUGUGCGAAAGCGUGGGGAGCAAACAGGAUUAGAUACCCUGGUAGUCCACGCUGUAAACGCUGUCGAUUUGGGGGUUGGGGUUUAACUCUGGCGCCCGUAGCUAACGUGAUAAAUCGACCGCCUGGGGAGUACGGCCGCAAGGUUA
RNAcentral lists this ribosomal RNA (548 nucleotides) under uncultured bacterium. RNAcentral describes it as "bacterial SSU rRNA". It matches the Rfam family "Bacterial small subunit ribosomal RNA", at positions 355 to 896 of the family's 1533-position model. The record is from RNAcentral.